GAGCAGAUAUAUGGGCACAAAUCAUUGUCAAAAGAGAGAGAAUCUCUGAGAAGCACAGGAAUUCCUAAAGGCAUAUUUACUUCAAAUGCUUUGACAUUGCUAUCCGAUUUAGUGCGAAUGUGGUGUUAGAUACAUCCUAUCACCUUCCUGAUCAACAGCAGAUGAGAUAUAGAGAGCAUUAUUUAUACUGCAUCCUAACAUUUAAAGACCAUUACGUACACGCUCACCUGUGAUAAGAGUAUGGCGAAGGAAAUUAUUUUAAGUCAAGGGGGGUUUCGAAUAAACGAUCAAAUACUUAAACCAAAUAAGAUUGAAGCUUUGAUAUCAUUUGAUCUUACCUAAGGAGCAAGCCAAGUAACUAGGAAGCCGCUAAAGACUGCCAAAUCGAGUAGCCAUCAGAGAGGCUGAGUGAAUUAAUAACAAAAAAAAAGAAAGGCUGAGUGAAUAUAAAUGUCAAAUUAAACCAAUCAUGCAUCGUGAGCUGUAGGUCUUUUCCUAGUGACAUAACCAAAGGGAUCAAAAUACAAUAUAGAUCAGGCAGUUACCAAGAGAUGGUAUAGGAUCUGAUAUUUAAUGAGAUAUGGCA
Molecule: long non-coding RNA, 586 nt
Filed under: Elaeis guineensis (African oil palm)
Lineage: Eukaryota; Viridiplantae; Streptophyta; Magnoliopsida; Arecales; Arecaceae
Description: long non-coding RNA (EGUI_LNC035545)
Source: RNAcentral